GACGAACGCUGGCGGCGUGCUUAACACAUGCAAGUCGAACGGAAAGGCCUGCUUUCCCUUGUGGAUUGCGGGUACUCGAGUGGCGAACGGGUGAGUAACACGUGAGUGAUCUGCCCCCAACUUGGGUAUAAGCCUGGGAAACUGGGUCUAAUUCCCGAUAGGACUGCAGGGUGGUGCCUGUGGUGGAAAACGAUUUUCUAGUGGUUGGGGAUGAGCUCGCGGCCUAUCAGCUUGUUGGUGGGGUAAUGGCCUACCAAGGCGGCGACGGGUAGCCGGACUGAGAGGGGGGACGGCCACAUUGGGACUGAGAUACGGCCCAGACUCCUACGGGAGGCAGCAGUGGGGAAUAUUGCACAAUGGGCGGAAGCCUGAUGCAGCGACGCCGCGUGGGGGAUGACGGCCUUCGGGUUGUAAACUCCUUUCGACCGCGAGGAAGCCACCUGGUUGGAAGGGUGGUGACGGUAGUGGUAGAAGAAGCACCGGCUAACUACGUG
Molecule: ribosomal RNA, 494 nt
Filed under: uncultured bacterium
Lineage: Bacteria
Description: partial 16S ribosomal RNA
Rfam family: Bacterial small subunit ribosomal RNA
Source: RNAcentral